CAAAGCCGCAAGCAUUGACUGUGGCAUCUAAAAACAGACGGGAGAAACUGGUCUGUGAUAAUACCUCCAGUGUUGUAAGGGAGCAUGAGGAAGGAAGGUAUGACAAACUGAAGAUCAAAAGCUGUAUUAACGUAAGAUGUAACGAAGAAGGAAACAAGUAGUAAAAAGUGAAAAGGAGGGAUCGAAAGGAAGCUUCAAGAUUGAAAGAGUUCAGUAAAAAUUUUCAAGGAUAUUGCCUGUGUUGGAAGGUUCGAGCUACAGGGAGAUGCUGAAUGGACUGCAGCUACUUUCCCUGGAGUGUCGGAG
Molecule: long non-coding RNA, 306 nt
Organism: Stegostoma tigrinum
Lineage: Eukaryota; Metazoa; Chordata; Chondrichthyes; Orectolobiformes; Stegostomatidae
Exons: 3
Source: RefSeq, a predicted model, not a curated record